Long non-coding RNA from Manacus vitellinus (golden-collared manakin), 214 nucleotides. RefSeq lists it as uncharacterized. The record is from RefSeq and is a predicted model, not a curated record. The transcript is spliced from 3 exons. Lineage: Eukaryota; Metazoa; Chordata; Aves; Passeriformes; Pipridae.
AUUUACAGCAACUAGAUGAAUUAACAGGAUCUCCAGCAGACAUUGCAGCUGAUGUAGUGGGAGAUAAUCCUAAACAAAAUCAGAUUAAGAAAAGGGUAACAAGGCUCCUUUUGCUUCUGCAAAUUCCUUACAAUUACGUUGCAUCCUUAUGUUAGUUUGCAUUGAGACUCUGGAGAAGAUUCUGCGAGAAUAUUGUACAGUUGAUCUUCUCAUC